GAUGGAAGAAUGUAGGCAAAGGAAAUCAGCAAAAUGGAUCCGUUACUUCAAGAAAAGGAUUGGCUCUGAGGGCUGGGCACGGGGUCUAGUCACGAACCCAUCGGUUGUCGGUGGACUGCUUGAGCUGCUCCUGUAGUGAGGUGAGUCACCUCGUGCUAACCGGGGAUGGACUGGGAACGGUUCCUUUGGGGGCCUUCCCCGGGCGUCGAACAGCCAACUCAGAACUGGUACGGACAAGGGGAAUCCAACUGUUCAAUUAAAACAAUGCAUUGCGAUGGUCCCUGCGGAUGUUUACGCAAUGUGAUUUCUACCCAGUGCUCUAAAUGUCAAGGUAAAGAAAUUCAACCAAGCGCGAGUAAAUGGUAAGAGUAACUAUGACUCUCUUAAGGUAGCCAAAUGCCUCGUCAUCUAAUUAGUGAUGCGCAUGAAUGGAUUAACGAGAUUCCCACUGUCCCUAUCUACUAUCCAGCGAAACCACAGCCAAUGGAAAGGGCUUGGUAGAAUCAGCGAGGAAAGAAGACCCUGUUGAGCUUGACUCUAGCCCGACUGUGUGAAAUGACUUGAGAGGUGUAGUAUAAGUGGGAGCCGAAAGGAGAAAGUGAAAUACCACUACUUUUAACGUUAUUUUACCUAUUCUGUGACUCGGAAGCGGGGCACUGCCCCUCUUUUUGGAUGCAAGGCUUGCUUGCAGGCCGAUCCGGGCGGAAAACAUUGUUAGGUGGGGAGUUUGGUUGGGGUGGCACAUCUGUUAAAAGAUAACGCAGGUGUCCUAAGAUGAGCUCAACGAGAACAAAAAUCUCGUGUGGAACAGAAGGGUAAAAGCUCGUUUGAUUCUAAUUUCCAGUGCGAAUAUGAACCGUGAAAGUGUGGCCUAACGAUCCUUUAGACCUUCAGAAUUCGCAGCUAGAGGUGUUAGAAAAGUUACCACAUGGAUAAUUAGCUUGUGGCAGCCAAGCGUUCAUAGCGACGUUGCUUUUUGAUCCUUCGAUGUUGGCUCUUCCUAUCAUUAUGAAGUAGAAUUCACCAAGUGUUGGAUUGUUCACCCGCAAAUAAGGAACGUGAGCUGGGUUUAGACUGUCGUGAGACAGGUUAAUUUUACCCUACUGAUGACAGUGUCACAAUAGUAAUUCAACCUAGUACGAGAGGAACCGUUGACUUGCGCAAUUGGUCAUUACUCUUGGUUGAAAAGCUAGUGGUGCGAAGCUACCAUGCGCUGGAUUAUGACUGAACGUUUCUAAGUUAGAAUCCGGGCUAGAAGCACUGCAUGUGCCGUCCGCUUGCCGACCCGUAGUAGGGGCCUUUUGCCCCCAAGGGCAUGUCUCAUUGGCUUAGUUAUCGCGAUGGAAGAGCCACGGUGGCCGCCUCUAAGUACAAUUUCCAUCGAGCGGCUGGUAGAAUCCUUCAAAUGACUUAAAUACGCAACGGGGUAUUGUAACUGGCAGAGUGGCCUUGCUGCCACGAUCCACUGAGAUUCAGCCGUUUGUCGCUCCGAUUC
This 1495-nucleotide non-coding RNA is filed under the name Nicotiana attenuata. RNAcentral describes it as "rRNA LSU_rRNA_eukarya". It matches the Rfam family "Eukaryotic large subunit ribosomal RNA", at positions 1889 to 3399 of the family's 3401-position model. The record is from Rfam by way of RNAcentral. Lineage: Eukaryota; Viridiplantae; Streptophyta; Magnoliopsida; Solanales; Solanaceae.